RNAcentral lists this transfer RNA (72 nucleotides) under Mollisia scopiformis. RNAcentral describes it as "Phialocephala scopiformis tRNA-Val". The record is from RNAcentral. Lineage: Eukaryota; Fungi; Ascomycota; Leotiomycetes; Helotiales; Mollisiaceae.
UAUCGUUGUAGAGUUGGUUAUCACGUGUCCUUAACACGGACAAGGUCCUGGGAUCGAGCCCCAGUCUGGUCA